Molecule: non-coding RNA, 19 nt
Filed under: Arabidopsis thaliana (thale cress)
Lineage: Eukaryota; Viridiplantae; Streptophyta; Magnoliopsida; Brassicales; Brassicaceae
Source: RNAcentral
GCCCGUCUAGCUCAGUUGG